CGGUUAGCUCAGCGGUAGAGCGUCUGCCUUACAAGCAGAGGGUCACAGGUUCAAAUCCUGUCAUCC
RNAcentral lists this transfer RNA (66 nucleotides) under Heterosigma akashiwo. The stretch from base 5 to 61 matches the Rfam family "tRNA", at positions 8 to 63 of the family's 71-position model. Rfam says of the family: Transfer RNA (tRNA) molecules are approximately 80 nucleotides in length. The record is from RNAcentral. Lineage: Eukaryota; Raphidophyceae; Chattonellales; Chattonellaceae.